CAGAUUACAGACAUGUGCCACUGCACCUGUUGGUGGCUAGGGAAAUAACCCAAAUUGGGACAGAUAUUGAUGAUACAACAAUUGGGAAUUGCUGAUGGUUUGGGGUCAAGAGAAAGAGGAAUCAAUGAUGUCUUCUAGGUUUGGAGCUUUAACAACCGGUCAGUAUUUGUACCACCAACUGAGAUAGAGAUGUCUGUAGAGGGGAAAGAGCAUAGGGCAAUGAAAAGAAAAACCUUGGUGUGUAUUGGUGGAAAAAUUCAUUCCACUGAACAUCAGCAGGUAAAUGGAUAAGCCAAAGGUAAUCAGUUUGCAUGCCCUUAAUCCAAAAAUAUGAAAAAACAAAACAAAACAUUUUUUUAGGUUUGUUCCUUAAACAUUUUUAAUUUUAUUUUCUUACUUGUUCUCUUUAGUUAUACAGGACAGUAGAAUCUAUUUUGAUAUAUUUAUACAAACAUGAAAUCUAUCUUAUUCUAAUUAGGAUCCUAGUCUUGUGGAUGGACACAAUGGUGAGAUUCACUGUGGUGUAUUCAUAUAUGAAUACAGGAAAAUGAUGUCAGAUUCAUUCCACUGUCUUUCCUUUGCCCCCUCUUUCCCCUUCAUUCCCCUUUGUCUAAUCCACUGGACUUCCAACCACCCUCUUUGUUGUGGGUUAGCAUCCACAUAUCAGAGAGAACAUUCGACUGUCGGAUUUUUGGAAUUGUCUUAUUUCACUUAGCAUGAUAGUCUCCAGAUCCAUCCAUUUACCAGCAAAAGUCAUAAAGUCAUUCUUCUUUAUGGCUUAGUAAUAUUCAAUUGUGUAUAUGUACCAUUAUUUCUUUAUCCAUUCAUCUGUUGAUGGGCAUCCAGGUUGGCUGCACAACUUAGCUAUUAUAAAUUGUGCUGCUAUAAACAUUGAAGUGGCUGUGUCACUGUAGCAUGCUGACAAAGUGAAACUUUUGAGGAUCUGACAUGAUGCCACAUGAAAAUCCCACACCUAACUUUAUGUGGUGGGUUGCAGUCAAAAUGCAGGCACCCAACACACAGUUUAUUCAGGCUAAGUGUGCAAGUUAUACAUGAAAUAUAAACGAAUUUAUAUUUAGAAAUAUAAAUGAAUGUUUAGACUUGGUUUCCAUCCCCAAGAUAUCUCAUUAUAUAUAUGCAAAUACUCCAAAAUCUGAAAAAAAAAAUCUGAAACACUUCUGGUUCUAAGCAUUUUGUAAAAGGAAUAUUCAACCUGUAUUCCACAAGUAGAAUAUUAUUCAGGGAAGAAAAGGAUGACACAAUACGGAUACAUGCUACAUGAGUGAACCUUUAAAACAUUGUGCUAAGUGAAUGACUUCAGACACAAACACCACAUAUUGUAUGAUUUCAUUAUAUGAAAUGUCCAGAGUAGGCAAAUCCAUAGACAGAAAUCAGAUAAGUGGGUAGCAGAGGAUUGGGCUGAGAAAAG
RNAcentral lists this long non-coding RNA (1429 nucleotides) under Marmota monax (woodchuck). The record is from RNAcentral. Lineage: Eukaryota; Metazoa; Chordata; Mammalia; Rodentia; Sciuridae.